UACGUAGGGGGCAAGCGUUGUCCGGAUUUAUUGGGCGUAAAGAGCGUGUAGGCGGCCGGACAGGUCCGUUGUGAAAACUCGAGGCUCAACCUCGAGAUGUCGAUGGAAACCGUCUGGCUAGAGUCCGGAAGAGGAGUGUGGAAUUCCUGGUGUAGCGGUGAAAUGCGCAGAUAUCAGGAAGAACACCUAUGGCGAAGGCAGCACUCUGGGACGGUACUGACGCUGAGACGCGAAAGCGUGGGGAGCGAACAGG
RNAcentral lists this ribosomal RNA (253 nucleotides) under uncultured bacterium. RNAcentral's name for it is "partial 16S ribosomal RNA". It matches the Rfam family "Bacterial small subunit ribosomal RNA", at positions 524 to 776 of the family's 1533-position model. The record is from RNAcentral.